RNAcentral lists this unclassified non-coding RNA (229 nucleotides) under uncultured fungus. RNAcentral's name for it is "sequence contains ITS1, 5.8S rRNA gene". The stretch from base 181 to 229 matches the Rfam family "5.8S ribosomal RNA", at positions 1 to 49 of the family's 154-position model. Lineage: Eukaryota; Fungi. The record is from RNAcentral.
UCUCCGUAGGUGAACCUGCGGAGGGAUCAUUACUGAGUGAGGGUUUAACCGCCCGACCUCCAACCCUUUGUGAAUCGUACUCGUUGCUUCGGGGGCGACCCUGCCGUUCGCGGCGUGGGCCCCCCGGAGCCCAUCAAACCCUGCGUAACUGAGUCGUCGGAGUUUAAACAAAUUAAACAAAACUUUCAACAACGGAUCUCUUGGUUCGGGCAUCGAUGAAGAACGCAGC